RNAcentral lists this transfer RNA (71 nucleotides) under Nicotiana sylvestris (wood tobacco). It matches the Rfam family "tRNA". From Rfam's summary of the family: Transfer RNA (tRNA) molecules are approximately 80 nucleotides in length. The record is from Rfam by way of RNAcentral. Lineage: Eukaryota; Viridiplantae; Streptophyta; Magnoliopsida; Solanales; Solanaceae.
GCACCAGUGGUCUAGUAGUAGAAUAGUAUUCUGCUACAUUAUAGACCUUGGUUUGAUUCCUAGACGGUGCA